Molecule: ribosomal RNA, 696 nt
Filed under: uncultured bacterium
Lineage: Bacteria
Description: bacterial SSU rRNA
Rfam family: Bacterial small subunit ribosomal RNA
Source: RNAcentral
GAGUUUGAUCCUGGCUCAGAUUGAACGCUGGCGGCAGGCUUAACACAUGCAAGUCGAACGGUAACAGGAAGAAGCUUGCUUCUUUGCUGACGAGUGGCGGACGGGUGAGUAAUGCUUGGGAAUCUGGCUCAUGGAGGGGGAUAACUACGGGAAACUGUAGCUAAUACCGCGUAGUAUCGGAAGAUGAAAGUGUGGGACCGCAAGGCCACAUGCCAUGAGAUGAGCCCAAGUGGGAUUAGGUAGUUGGUUAGGUAAAGGCUGACCAAGCCGACGAUCUCUAGCUGGUCUGAGAGGAUGACCAGCCACACUGAAACUGAGACACGGUCCAGACUCCUACGGGAGGCAGCAGUGGGGAAUAUUGCACAAUGGGGGAAACCCUGAUGCAGCCAUGCCGCGUGAAUGAAGAAGGCCUUCGGGUUGUAAAGUUCUUUCGGUGAUGAGGAAGGUGUUUGUUUUAAUAGAACAAGCAAUUGACGUUAGUCACAGAAGAAGCACCGGCUAACUCCGUGCCAGCAGCCGCGGUAAUACGGAGGGUGCGAGCGUUAAUCGGAAUAACUGGGCGUAAAGGGCACGCAGGCGGUGACUUAAGUGAGAUGUGAAAGCCCCGAGCUUAACUUGGGAAUUGCAUUUCAUACUGGGUCGCUAGAGUACUUUAGGGAGGGGUAGAAUUCCACGUGUAGCGGUGAAAUGCGUAGA